This 505-nucleotide ribosomal RNA is filed under the name uncultured bacterium. RNAcentral's name for it is "partial 16S ribosomal RNA". It matches the Rfam family "Bacterial small subunit ribosomal RNA", at positions 28 to 507 of the family's 1533-position model. The record is from RNAcentral.
GACGAACGCUGGCGGCGUGCCUAAUACAUGCAAGUAGAACGCACAGUCUAUACCGUAGCUUGCUACACCAUAAACUGUGAGUUGCGAACGGGUGAGUAACGCGUAGGUAACCUGCCCGGUAGCGGGGGGUAACUAUUGGGAACGAUAGCUAAUACCUCAUAAUAUUGAUUAUUGCAUGAUAAUUGAUUGAAAGAUGCUAUUGCAUCACUACCAGAUGGACCUGUGUUGUAUUAGCUAGUAGGUGAGGUAACGGCUCACCUAGGCGAAGAUACAUAGCCGACCUGAGAGGGUGGUCGGCCAAACUGGGACUGAGAAACGGCCCAGACCCCUACGGGAGGGAGCAGUAGGGAAUCUUUGGGAAUGGGCGAAAGUCUGACCGAGCAACGGCGGGUGGAUGAAGGAGGUUUUCGGAUCGUAAAGCUCUGUUGUAAGGGAAGAACGGGUUGGAGAGUGGAAAGUGCACACUGUGACGGUACCUUAUCAGAAAGGGACGGCUAACUACGUG